AAGUCGUAACAAGGUUUCCGUAGGUGAACCUGCGGAAGGAUCAUUACAGUGUUUGCUGCCCUCACGGGUAGCAACCCUCACCCUUGUGUAUUAUAUCUUUGUUGUUUUGGCACGCCACCUUAGGGUACCGGCCUUGGCUGGCUCGCGCGUGUCAGAAGCUCUAAAACUCUGAAUGUUAAUGUCGUCUGAGUACUAUUUAAUAGUUAAAACUUUCAACAACGGAUCUCUUGGUUCUG
RNAcentral lists this unclassified non-coding RNA (236 nucleotides) under Leotiomycetes sp. RNAcentral describes it as "partial contains small subunit ribosomal RNA, internal transcribed spacer 1, and 5.8S ribosomal RNA". The stretch from base 1 to 46 matches the Rfam family "Eukaryotic small subunit ribosomal RNA", at positions 1786 to 1831 of the family's 1831-position model. Lineage: Eukaryota; Fungi; Ascomycota; Leotiomycetes. The record is from RNAcentral.